CAGCCUACCAUGCAAGUCGAAGCGGUCGCACCGGGAGCUUGCUCCUGCUUUCAUCAGCAGGACGGGUGAGUAAUGCCUAUGAAUCUGCCUGGUACUGGGGGACAACGAUCAGAAACGGACGCUAAUACCGCUUACGUCCUACGGGACAAAAUGGGGGAUCUUGAGACCUCGCCCUAUCACAUGAGCAUAUGUCCGAAUAGCUUUUUGGUGAGGUAAAGGCACCCCCUCGCCACGAUCCCUAUCUGGUCUGAGACGAAGAUGAUUCCCACUGACACUGAAACUCAGACCAGACUCCUACUGGAGGCAGAAGUGGGGAAUAUUAAACUAUGGGCAAGAGCCUGAUCCUGCCGUGCCCCUUGUGUGAAUAAGGUCAUCGGAUUGUAAAGCUCUUUUACUUGGGACGAAGGGCAAUGAGUUAAUACCUUGCUGUUUUGACAUUACCGACACAAUAAGCACCGGCUAACUCUGUGCCAGCACCCGCGGUAAUACAAAUGGUGAAGGCGUUAAUCUGAAUUACUNUGCGUAAACCGCGCGUACGUGGUUGCGCAAGUUGGAUGUGAAAGCCCCGGGCUCAACCUGGGAACUGCAUCGAAAACUGAAGCAGCUAGAGUAUGGUAUAGGGUGGUGGAAUUUCCUGUGUAGCGGAGAAAUGCGUAUGAUAUAGAGAUCGAACACCAAUNNNCGAAGGCGACCACCUGCCACUGAUACUGACACUGACGGUGCGAAAGCGUGAGCGAGCAAACGCGAUUAGAUACCCUGGUAUUCCACGCCGUACACGAUGUCAACUAGCCGUUGANAUCCUUGCACAUCUUAGUGGCCUACCUAACGCAAUACGUUGACUGCAUGGCGAGUACGAGUCGCGAGGUUAAGACUCAAAUGAAUUGACUGGAGCCCGCACCAGCCGAUGCAGCAUGUGGUUUAGUUCAAAUCAACGCAAAGAAACUUAACCUGGCC
RNAcentral lists this ribosomal RNA (954 nucleotides) under Pseudomonas guariconensis. RNAcentral's name for it is "bacterial SSU rRNA". It matches the Rfam family "Bacterial small subunit ribosomal RNA", at positions 43 to 980 of the family's 1533-position model. Lineage: Bacteria; Pseudomonadati; Pseudomonadota; Gammaproteobacteria; Pseudomonadales; Pseudomonadaceae. The record is from RNAcentral.